Molecule: long non-coding RNA, 252 nt
Filed under: Mytilus galloprovincialis (Mediterranean mussel)
Lineage: Eukaryota; Metazoa; Mollusca; Bivalvia; Mytilida; Mytilidae
Source: RNAcentral
AUACGAUACAGUUAUAGGGGAGGUAAUGACGUUGCUAACGUAAAAUGUUAUUUUCGCGACGUCAAACUAUGACAUAUCGGGAAAAGAUGCAUUUUUCGACUAAUUUUUAUGGUUCAAACUGAUUUAAUUUGAAAACGAGUGCAUGGACCCUUAUUUUUUAAAACGACAUUUUGUUUCAUUUUGCAGGGAGAUUAUGUGGACCAAAUUUUAUAAAACUGUAAAUAGAGGAUUUUUUUUUAAUUUUGAUAAAUA